Non-coding RNA from Hydra vulgaris (swiftwater hydra), 883 nucleotides. The record is from RefSeq and is a predicted model, not a curated record. Lineage: Eukaryota; Metazoa; Cnidaria; Hydrozoa; Anthoathecata; Hydridae.
UAAUGAAAUAAAAUAAAUUUAUUUGUGAUUAUUUUUUAGCUGAUGUACCGUUAAACUGAAGGUGGUAAUAAAGUUUACAAAAUUUGCUCUGGCUGAAUUUUUCAUUGAAAAAACAAUAUGUGUGCCAUGAAUGUAAUCUGUUUUUCAUGGCGGAUCAAUGAAAGUUUGGUGUAUUGGCCAAAUCACUUGCAAGCAUCUUGCCUUUAGGCUUCCAUUCGUAAUGUCACGCUUAAAAGUAACUGAAAGCAGCUAAAAAUAAGAAUUUUUUGUUAUGAGACUGCUUUAGAACGGAAUUAUCUGUGCCUCCAGCUUAAAAGGAUGCAGGUUACAAAAAAGUGACACUGAUGAGAUUGUCUUACAUUUUAUCAAAGAUUGAAGAAAUCUUAAGUGUUUUAGGGUUAAGUGGUUCUAUCAGAGCUUUGUUUGACAAUCUCUUUCGAUUUAUUGAAUUUAUUUGCCGUUUAUAGAAAAAAAAAGAUCUUCUUAACCUCGAAGAAAAAUUAUGGAACAAAGACACCUUAUGAAUCAAUAGUAUAUAUCAGUGACUUGAUAUUAGUUAAUAGUUUUUGGAAACAGUACCAUGUACUUUUAAAGUUUCUAAUUUUUAAAAUAUGUGAUACAUUUAUAUGAAACAUUAUACAAACAAAUGAUACAAAAUGAUACGUGAUUGACUAUAAUUAUGUUGUAUAUCAGAAUGUUUUAUAUAAAUGUUUAUUAAAUUUUAUUGUGAUUUUUAUCUUUUAUGCCCAGUUAGCAAUGUAUUUUGUGUAGCAAUGACUACUAAUCUCAGAUAUCUAUGACAUCUGUAGGGUGUAUUCACCGCUACAGAUGUCAUAAUCUAUUUAUAACCAAUUGCUUUUACUCUUCCAUAAUGUCAUAUUUU